RNAcentral lists this ribosomal RNA (470 nucleotides) under Melanina gundecimermaniae. RNAcentral describes it as "SSU rRNA". It matches the Rfam family "Bacterial small subunit ribosomal RNA", at positions 566 to 1049 of the family's 1533-position model. Lineage: Eukaryota; Fungi; Ascomycota; Eurotiomycetes; Chaetothyriales. The record is from RNAcentral.
GGUACCUAGACGGAAAAUCAAGCUUAAUUAAACUAAGGACUAGUUUUCUAGAGUUUGACAUGAGAAGGUACGAACUAUCAGAGGAGAGAUAAAAUUUGUUGAUACUGGUGGGACGGACAACGGCGAAGGCAAUCUUCUACUAAAAACUGACGUUGAGGGACGAAGCCUUGGGGAGCGAGAAGGAUUAGAUACCCUAGUAGUCCUUGGAGAAAAUUAUGAGUGCCAUAGACUAAAGUGAAAAAGAAGUUCUUUUAAAAGAACUUUGUAUCUGAGCCUUAAUUGGAUACAAAGGUCUCGAGUAGCAGUUUAUAAAUGAAAGUGUAAGCAUUCCACCUCAUGACUAAAGCGGCAACGCCCAAAUUGAAAUCAUUAGACCGUUUCUGAAACCAGUAGUGAAGUAUGUUAUUUAAUUCGAUAACCCGCGAAUAACCUUACCACGUUUUGAAUUUAUUAAACAAGUGUUGCACGGC